This 397-nucleotide ribosomal RNA is filed under the name uncultured bacterium. RNAcentral describes it as "partial 16S ribosomal RNA". It matches the Rfam family "Bacterial small subunit ribosomal RNA", at positions 523 to 918 of the family's 1533-position model. The record is from RNAcentral.
AUACGUAGGUGACAAGCGUUAUCCGGAUUUACUGGGCGUAAAGGGCGUGUAGGCGGUCUUGCAAGUCAGAAGUGAAAUUCCUGAGCUCAACUCGGGCGCUGCUUCUGAAACUGCAGGACUUGAGUGCUGGAGGGGAUAGCGGAAUUCCUAGUGGAGCGGUAAAAUGCGCAGAUAUUAGGAAGAACACCGGUGGCGAAGGCGGCUAUCUGGACAGUAACUGCCGCUGAGGCGAGAAAGCGUGGGGAGCAAACAGGAUUAGAUACCUUGGUAGUCCACGCCGUAAACGAUGAAUACUAGGUGUAGGGGGUAUCGACUCCCUCUGUGCCGCAGUUAACACAAUAAGUAUUCCGCCUGGGGAGUACGGCCGCAAGGUUGAAACUCAAAUGAAUUGACGGGG